RNAcentral lists this transfer RNA (59 nucleotides) under Secretargas transgariepinus. RNAcentral's name for it is "Argas transgariepinus tRNA-Glu". The record is from RNAcentral. Lineage: Eukaryota; Metazoa; Arthropoda; Arachnida; Ixodida; Argasidae.
UUUUUAUAGUGUAUUAAAACACAUAACAUUUUCAUUGUUAAAAAGCCUUAGCUAAAAAC